CUUAGCAGAACUUUGUAAGACACUUCAUCUUUAAACAUCAGAUACAAUGAUUAUCCCAAAAAUGACACUUCUUUUAAAAAAAUCCCAUAGCCCGAGUUUAUUAGCAUCACUUUUUCAAUGAACAGAUACAGACUAUAGGCAAUUGCUACUUCAAAGAAUUACUCAGAGUAACAAACUUGAGUGUUGUUUGGUUUAUGCAUAGUUAAAUAAAUUAGGGAACAUUCGACCGUUUAAAAUAUUGUUUAUUAACAACAUACAUUCAAAGGAUCGCUCUGAAACAUCCAACACAAACACACACCCGUUGACAAUCACUUCGUUUUCCAAUCACUUUAAACACUGAUUUGAGAUCCCUGCAGCAACAAAGCUGGUAUCAUAACGGAGAGUUACAUAACACCAACCACUCUCUCUUCGCCCACAAAACGCCAGCGGAUAACACCACUUCCCCUUCCCCCAGCAGACAGAACGUGUCCCGAGGCUUUAGGGAGAGCACCCAUCCCUGCAGACGCUGCCGUGCCACGGCGCUUCCCCGGGCACAGCGAUGGAGGAGCAGGGGCAAUGCCCGCCGAGCCCCUUUGUUCUCCCGGGAGCCGGCGGGACACAGCACAGAGAGAAGAACCAGCGCGGAGGACGCGGGUUGCACUUCAGCGAGGAGCAGUCGUGGGUACCGGGCUGGCUGUGGAAUUGCAGCAAACUGGACUCGCUCCUGACGAUCCACCCUGACGAGGGACCCAGCAGACAGUCAUUAGUGGUCUCAGAAACACUUCUGCUUCAAACACGCCGUUCUUACAUCUCUUAGCUGGGACAUACUGACUCAGUGUCUUGCUGAUAAGCCAGAUGCAAAUUGGUCAGGAAGCUUCAAGCAGUGUUCCCGCUUGUGCCUUCUCAGCGGUGGGCAGAGGUUGACAUCUCCCCGGAGUCAUCAACUUCGUGAUUUAGCUGUUUUGAAGCAAAUGACAUAUGUAAAGAUCCAAUCCUAAUACGUUUCCAUGCUUAGGAGUAAAGAAAAAUGUGUAAUAUGUACAUAAAAAGAUUUACCAUACUUUUUGAGAAAGA
This is a long non-coding RNA of Oenanthe melanoleuca, 1053 nucleotides long. RefSeq lists it as uncharacterized. The transcript has 2 exons. Lineage: Eukaryota; Metazoa; Chordata; Aves; Passeriformes; Muscicapidae. The record is from RefSeq and is a predicted model, not a curated record.